RNAcentral lists this signal recognition particle RNA (97 nucleotides) under Limisphaerales bacterium. Its description in RNAcentral is "Verrucomicrobia subdivision 3 bacterium (hot springs metagenome) signal recognition particle sRNA small type". It matches the Rfam family "Bacterial small signal recognition particle RNA". Rfam says of the family: The signal recognition particle (SRP) is a universally conserved ribonucleoprotein involved in the co-translational targeting of proteins to membranes. Lineage: Bacteria; Pseudomonadati; Verrucomicrobiota; Verrucomicrobiia; Limisphaerales. The record is from RNAcentral.
UGCCAGGGCCCACAGAAUGUGGACAAACAAACCCCGCCAGGGCAGGAAUGCAGCAACGGUAGUUUGCUCUGCAUCUGCUGUGGUUGCCCUGGCGUUU